Molecule: ribosomal RNA, 428 nt
Filed under: uncultured Bacillus sp.
Lineage: Bacteria; Bacillati; Bacillota; Bacilli; Caryophanales; Bacillaceae
Description: bacterial SSU rRNA
Rfam family: Bacterial small subunit ribosomal RNA
Source: RNAcentral
AGUAGGGAAUCUUCCGCAAUGGACGAAAGUCUGACGGAGCAACGCCGCGUGAGUGAUGAAGGCUUUCGGGUCGUAAAACUCUGUUGUUAGGGAAGAACAAGUGCUAGUUGAAUAAGCUGGCACCUUGACGGUACCUAACCAGAAAGCCACGGCUAACUACGUGCCAGCAGCCGCGGUAAUACGUAGGUGGCAAGCGUUAUCCGGAAUUAUUGGGCGUAAAGCGCGCGCAGGUGGUUUCUUAAGUCUGAUGUGAAAGCCCACGGCUCAACCGUGGAGGGUCAUUGGAAACUGGGAGACUUGAGUGCAGAAGAGGAAAGUGGAAUUCCAUGUGUAGCGGUGAAAUGCGUAGAGAUAUGGAGGAACACCAGUGGCGAAGGCGACUUUCUGGUCUGUAACUGACACUGAGGCGCGAAAGCGUGGGGAGCAAA